AUUGAACGCUGGCGGCAUGCUUUACACAUGCAAGUCGAACGGCAGCACGGGGGCAACCCUGGUGGCGAGUGGCGAACGGGUGAGUAAUGCAUCGGAACGUACCCAGUCGUGGGGGAUAACGCAGCGAAAGUUGUGCUAAUACCGCAUACGACCUGAGGGUGAAAGCGGGGGACCGUAAGGCCUCGCGCGAUUGGAGCGGCCGAUGUCUGAUUAGCUAGUUGGUGGGGUAAAGGCCCACCAAGGCGACGAUCAGUAACGGGUCUGAGAGGAUGAUCCGCCACACUGGGACUGAGACACGGCCCAGACUCCUACGGGAGGCAGCAGUGGGGAAUUUUGGACAAUGGGGGCAACCCUGAUCCAGCCAUGCCGCGUGCGGGAAGAAGGCCUCGG
Molecule: ribosomal RNA, 390 nt
Filed under: uncultured bacterium
Lineage: Bacteria
Description: bacterial SSU rRNA
Rfam family: Bacterial small subunit ribosomal RNA
Source: RNAcentral